Molecule: ribosomal RNA, 393 nt
Filed under: uncultured bacterium
Lineage: Bacteria
Description: bacterial SSU rRNA
Rfam family: Bacterial small subunit ribosomal RNA
Source: RNAcentral
AUUGAACGCUGGCGGCGUGCCUAACACAUGCAAGUCGAGCGGUAACAGGUGUAGCAAUACAUGCUGACGAGCGGCGAACGGGUGAGUAAUGCUUCGGAAUCUACCCAAUGGCGGGGAUAACCAGCCGAAAGGUUGGCUAAUACCGCAUACGUCCCACGGGAGAAAGCAGGGAUCGCAAGACCUUGCGCCAAUGGAUGAGCCGAAGUCGGAUUAGCUAGNGGUAGGGUAACGGCCUACCAAGGCGACGAUCCGUAGCUGGUCUGAGAGGACGACCAGCCACACUGGGACUGAGACACGGCCCAGACUCCUACGGGAGGCAGCAGUGGGGAAUAUUGGACAAUGGGGGAAACCCUGAUCCAGCGACGCCGCGUGUGUGAAGAAGGCCUGCGGGUU